This is an RNA transcript of Photinus pyralis (common eastern firefly), 1507 nucleotides long. It is a transcript of the gene named neprilysin-2-like, with no coding region annotated. NCBI's taxonomy places the organism in Eukaryota, Metazoa, Arthropoda, Insecta, Coleoptera, Lampyridae. The transcript has 3 exons. The record is from RefSeq and is a predicted model, not a curated record.
GCCUCAAAAAAAUUUUUUUUUUAUUCUAUAGAACUAAUAAGGAUAAAUAAAUCGGAUUGAUGAACAAGUGUUGCACUCGUCGAAAUUCAAAAGAUUUAUAAUAAACUUUAUAAUACCACUAUGCGGGCGCUAGUUGUAUGGAAUACAGAUGAGUUUUUUUAGUAGGAAAUUUAAAGCGGCCUUAAAAUAAAGUUAGUACUACUAUAAUAAAAUGGUUUAUUAACCUAGAAUAGGCUUUCAUUGGCUCAUUCCCAUUAAUCAAUGUUUAUCGGUGAACAUUUAAUGAAAACGAUACGGUACGAUUGAAGUUAAGCUUAAUCGACCAUGAUCAACAUGAAAGCUGAAUGCCAGUGGUGUAACAAAAAGUAUAAACGAAUUUAUAUAAAAUGUUUUGCAUGCCAACAUUUUUCUAAUGAGUAUCCUAACAUAUUAGUUGACUUACGCGAAUAUUGUUAGUGUAUUUUAUAGGAAACAACCUUUCUAACCAUUUCUUGCCAUACGACUAAGAGCAAUAGAUCAUCGUGAAGGAGAAGAAUGAGUAUGGAGACGUAUCUAAUUUUAAGUGUAGCUGUACAUAUUGUGGUAGUAGCUUCUGAUAUGGCUUCCAACCAAACGUGCUCAACUCCAGGUUGUAAGCGUGCAGCGUCGUGUGUUUGAAGUAAUAUGGACGCAAGUGUUGACCCAUGCGAUGACUUUUAUCAAUUCGCAUGUGGCAAAUUUAUUAAGCAAUCUGAAGGUUCAUACUUUCAAUUUACGGACAAAUUUGUUAAAGAACAGUUACGUGUAAUACUGGAAGAGAACGUCACAUCGCAAGAACCACGACCGUUCAGAGUACUUAAGAAGAUAUACCAAGCAUGCAUGAAUACAACCUCUAUUGAAUUAGAUGGAUUGACAACUAUAAAAUCAAUUAUAAAAGAUCUAGGCGGAUGGCCGGUGUUAAAAGGACGGAAGUGGAAUCAGAAGAAAUUUGAUUGGAAACAGUCUGUUUACAAGUUUCGUAAUUUCGGUUACAAUUUCAAUUAUUUCAUUACCGUUGGAACUAUGAGUUACAAAGAUACAGGAAAUGUUUCAUCGAAUAUGCUUUAUGUAAGUGUAACACAGUAACUCUCGCUGAUUCAGCUGUUCUUCAGAUAGGGCCAGCAGACGUACCUCGUGGCGCACCAAGUGACCUCAAACAGUACCUUAAUGAAAUGGUGCAAGUUGCCACUGUCUUAGGUGCUAAAAAAAGUGUGGCUAAAAGAGAGCUUAAUGAAUCAUUAGAAUUCGAGCUCAAUUUAAGUAUGAUGACAAGCCCCUUUCGAGAACAGAGAAACCUUAGUUUAGUGUACCAUCGCAUGUCUGUAUCAGAAUUACAACAAAAAGUUCCUAGUAUUCCUUGGUUGGAGUACUUGAAUUCAGUAUUAAACGUUACCAACAUUACCAUUAAAGCCUCUCACGUAAUUAUAUUGGUACAUCCUAGCUACUUUCCACAAUUUGAAAAAUUGCUUAAUAAUACUCCAAAAAGGUU